Molecule: long non-coding RNA, 1698 nt
Organism: Equus caballus (horse)
Lineage: Eukaryota; Metazoa; Chordata; Mammalia; Perissodactyla; Equidae
Source: Ensembl
CUAAAGGCAUCCAUCUCACAUUUUGAUUACAUAAAUUUUAAAGGAAUUUCAAGAUAAUUUAGCAUCUUCAUCUUUUAUUUGCAGAGGGUGGGGGUGGGUCACUGAGUAUAAAAGGGCUGUACACCUGGACCAAUGCGGACACUGUGUUCCUAGUUAGUCAGAGAUUUAAUAAUCAGAAAAAAAUGAUGCAAAAAGCAAAGGGACUACAGAGAAGAGGGUUGAGGUUUCAGAAACAAUUCAGGGCUGAAUAAAGUGGCACCUGAUGCAGAAGAAUGUUUAGAGCAUGCACCUGGAAGGGAGGCAUAGGGCCCAGGGAGUGGGGCCCAGGAUUGGGUUAACAUUCCAGAAGUCAGGGAAUUGUCUGCUUGCUCAGGAUGGCGGUAGAAGAAGGAGCCCAGAUGACCCUAUUGACAAAUGAGGUAGAAACAUGGAAACACUUUGAGCUUCCAAGUCAAAAAACAGUGCUCUAUCAGUAGCAAAUGUUACUAAUGUUAAAUAUAGUGCUGCAUCUAGCACUGAGAAUUUUUAUAAUGCAUGUCCUGCUAAUGCUUUUGAGAACCUUAACUAGAAGGGUGGGAGAUGCUAACUUGUCUGGCAUAUGAUCUUGUUUCUAUCCAUAUUUCCCAGGCAGAAAUUAUAAGUAUGUUUUAAAGCUUUUAAGGAGUCAGUGAAAAUUAGUUGUGCUCUGGCACCAGCUCUUUCCCGGGAAGCAUGCAGGGCGAUGAAACAGCUCUACAACUGCCAUUCUACACAGAAAGCAGCGCUCAGGGGUCGUAAAACCGUCUGGCUCUGUUCCCUGUGUAGGAGCUGUGCGUGGGAGAACUCGGAGGACCAAUUUCACGGUUGACACGGUGAAAACUACAAACUCCCGGGUAAGACUGUCAGAGGCAGCUUCUCCAAGCCUGCAGCUGAGGAAUGAAGAGUCUUCUACGAUUGCACUGUCAUUCCACACGUUCCACGUAACUGAGUUGGGAAAGUCAUGAAAGUGAAGCCUGGGAAGGAACAAAUCAGUAAGACACACUCACGUGCAUGUGUGGGCACACACACAGCGUUUGUCAUACAGACUGCUAAGGGGAGUGGUAAGGCUGCUUUUCAUUCUGGUACCAGUGUGUCUUGGUAACCAGGAAAAAUGCUUCCAUUUCUUAGGCUAAAGAGAAAGUGGACAGAUGUCUCAGAGAAAGAGAGUGUAUUUUUUCCCCUGAAAUCUUUUGGUUUUGAUGAUACUGUAAUCGUUCUCUUAUGACUUAUAUUUAACUACCACUUGUGAUAGCUGCCAUAUUGCAAUGCCUGCAGAAUAUCAGAACUUUCCAGUUUCCUAAGAAUUGACUUCACUGCCUCUCCUUACUUACCAGCAGGUGAAUGAGCAAUUACAUCCCUUGAGCAAUGAAUAAAUGGACAUGGGUCCUUGGAAUGAACAAUUUCCAUUUCUGUAAAGAUGAAUCCCCCAAAACUGGUUGAAAUUACUGUUGUCAGAGAAUGGAGCUCCAUGUUCUCUGAAUUCCCAUUUCUAGCUGUGCUCUAGGUAGAUGGGCUCUGAAUCACUGACAAAUGUGCAAUAAUGACAAGAAGGGGAGAGCGCAGUAAGACCUUGAUAAUCUGCUAAGCCUACGCAAACUGGGUCUCUACUUUGCUAAUAAGUAUUUUAGUCCUCUUAUGAUUAGCACCUUUUUAGAUGUACGCAAUAAUUCUGUAAGUGAC